This is a non-coding RNA of Ramazzottius varieornatus, 94 nucleotides long. The record is from the annotation of a GenBank genome assembly. Lineage: Eukaryota; Metazoa; Tardigrada; Eutardigrada; Parachela; Ramazzottiidae.
AGUUGGAUUGGAUAGGCAUUCUAUUCUUCCCGCUGUUGAUAGAGAUCCUAUCCAUUCGGAUGGGAUCCGGAUGAGCUCUCCAUCCAUCCGACUU